CACCCUCUCUCCUUCUCUCCAAAGUGUGGGCUCAAACAUAAGCUCUUAUGGUUUCGGCUCUUUGGGGCCAACUCUACCCGCAAUAGACGCUUUAGCUCAUCCGCAAGUGAUGCUUCAGGCUCCAUUGUUUUUCAUUUGCCGAAACACAAAUCGGAGGAGAUGGAGAUGAUAUAAGUUCGUCGGUAGUGGGAAGGCACGAAAGGUGACGGGGAGAAUGGAUACACAAUCUUGCUCUCGCUCCGCGGUUAAUUCCUCUUCAGCCGUUCUUUUUGGCCCGUUCCUUACUCCAUCCUCCGUUGACGGCCCAUUACAGUUCCUGGUUUUGCCUCUGGCACCCUUUGCGAGCCCAAAACAGCACCGUCCCAAUCCGGGGCCGCCGAUAAAGGGGCAUCUCUUUUCAAAACGGCGAAACUAGUACCUGAUUUGGGCGCUGCAGGCGUAUCCAACCUGCCACCGGCAUAUGACGGCCUUCCACACGUCGAAAAGCCCGCAAACUCCGUUGGCGCGACUCCAAUGGGCCGUAUUGGCCUCUCGUGACGGUGCUGUCAGUUGACUGAGACAUGCAGUGGAGUGCAGCGGUGCAGUGGACCGUGGUCAGCACUGCCUGUUUGCAUGCAGUAAAACAGAAUCUGAAACAUGGCUGAAAAUGCGCAUCAGGUUGGGCUAGGUGGUAGUUCGUGCUGGUACAUACAGUACGAGUACGAGUGCGAGUACGAGUUAUCGUGAUAUGACCAUAGGUGAUAAGCUUCCCCUCUGUCCACGUGAAGCUUCAACAAGUGUCUCAAAUGGUCGACUUGCCACAGGUACAAUUACGAUAGUCGGUUUUGUCGCUUUGACCGUCAAAGAUCAAUUCGUCCCCAACUUACACCGAGACCGUACAACUGUCGGGUGACGACGUAUCGUACAUAUGAUGCGUACAUCCCGGUAAUACAUACUGUACAGUUCCUGUCGUACAUACAGACCAUUCAGGCACCCCUCGCUGUAUACUACGAUACGAGUCGUGCUAACAAACAGUCAGAAUGCUAUUUGAUCUCGUGUCCAGGUCAAUCCAACAGGAUCGACCGCCACGAGCUUCAUACUCUAUCAACUAUCAUGAGGAUGGCCCCAGAUGCAUAAAUGCUGUCCACGGAGAUGCACCGGGAGCUGCAUAGUGGUGACGAUUUUCUCUAUACUAUACGGCUCAAGGGAUUUGGUGCAGUACCGAGUACACACAUUGGUGCUCACAUUGGUCUCACAUUGGUCUCACAUUCGUCUUACCGCACUACCAAUGGCGAUAGACCGCCUCAGCUUCGUGUCUACCCAUAUUGGAAAAUUAUCGCUCUGUGCGAUUAGCCAGGAACACAGUUUGGGAUCCAGGGGCUGGCGAUAAUAAACCCUGUGUGCCCCUGUCCAUUGAUAUGCGGAUAUUCUGCUAUGAAACGGUGGCUUUCCAUGAAGCGCGCGGCCAAACUCGCAUCUCGAUGCGGGCUCUGAUUGAACAUGGCACCAUACAUUGCACUUCUCAUGGGAGUGCAAGACAAGAACGGAAACGGUACUUGUACCAUAUCGUACCUUGCUCAGUCAAAUGACUCACUGUGGAGAAAAAGUGGUGCUACUUGCACUGCUUUGACACAAGGGCAUUGACAGUUGACAGUUGACAGAUGGAUGCAGCACUAAUGAUGUAUUGAUGGUACGAGUGUGGGGAAAUGGAGAUGGUGGAAUGGGAAUGGACGAGGCGCGGAAAGAUUCAGGAACUACGGACAUUGAAUCAAAGAUUCGCUUGUUUUUGCGGGGUCUUUGCCGCCCCCGAAUCAUCUCCAUCUACAGAGCUUUCUGCAGCGUUUUCCAUUUCCAAGACAUGCAUAAUGUGUCCGAAAAGGACAUGUAUCGCCGAAGAGGCGAAGAGGAGUAAUUAAUUACGUCGCACGUGUCGAACAUACGAUGCCGCGUAUUUGGUGAUGUGAGCUCUACGCUCAUUGGUGGUCCUACUCCUAUUCACACAGUACGCACAGUCCUGCCCCCAACGCUUACAGUAGUUAAGACUUAGUUGGGGGAUAGUUGGAUAAAAAGUGUGCUAGGGGUUGCUAUUGGAUGUUACAGGAAUGGGACAGUUAUAAGAAAAUACCCAGCUGAUAAAGGACGCCAAUCUAACCAAAUAUGCACUCAAAUUCCCUCACUGAAGUUCAAGUGUGUUGAGAUGUUACGAAACCGAUCUCACAAUAUUUGAUGAGGUUAUAGUUGGGUUUUACUGGAGCACUAGGUAGUUCUGACAGCGUGGGUCUCUCUAUUUCCUAGAACGACUACAUCCGAAACCAGCACAUUUGUCUCCAAAAUGGCUUAAUACGGGAUGAAUAUUCAACUGCGAACGGUCGGCUUAUUCUCAGCCGGGGAUCCACACUCGUAUUGUUCUUUUUGGGUACUCUGUUUCGGUUGUCAAGAUUGCUGGAGAGGUCACUGCGACAGAGAAGCACUAUGUACUACAAAAUGUGCUUGUUGUACAACUCGAAGCGCUGACACGACGGAAUGGAACAGCCAACCCAUCAUUGAAGAAUAUCUAUGGGAGAGCAAGGUCAGCAGUUGGCAUUCUGAAGUACCUGUGCUCCUGUUGGAAUGGGCCUCAUGAAGCAACACAAGGACACUGACUGACUACGAUGAGAUGAGACAAUUGGUGGUACGAAAAGGACAGGUACUCACAAUCACCCGAAAAUGGAACAUGGAACUGAGAGUUCGACCUUGAAGUACCACUAAUCUGGAGACUCAACAAGUGGGGUAAGCAAAGCACAUCCAAUGCCAUGGUGGUCUAUUUGCUAUCAAGAUUCACGAGCCCUUCCUGUUUUCAACAAUAUUCAACGACCAGUGGCUAGAGUGUGCGACCGCAACCACCUCUUCCGAGAAAUUCCCACUAGCAACCAACAUUGGAGAGCUGCAAGUUCCCGACAACGGGAAAUACUGUGUCAGCGUCACUCACACACGUCCAACAAAUGAGUACAACAACAGUGAAUGGACCGACUUCCUAAUCUGCUCUAGAUUCUUGCCUAUUAAAGCCCCAUCCCUAGGUCUGAACUGAGAGUUUAACAGAGUACGGCUUCAACUACCGGUAACAUAGCCCUGCACACGCCUCACCGCUAGCACUGUAGCUGUCAGAGAGAGCACAGCCGAUAUUCGCGCUCUAAAUGCCGCCAGUGUACGGUAGCGAUCCAUGGAAAGUCUUAGUCUCCAAUAUCCAACAUAGCAGCCUAUGGCAGCCCAAUCUUGCACUGUUUUCGACUACUUUCCCCAGUCAUGUGUCUCAGACUAAGACAUGGUAGAAAGUAUCACCGACUAUUGAGGCAGGAGUCGUACGGAAUGAUACCAGUAGAGUGGUCAGGAGUGAUGGGGUCUAGAUGGUUGAUUCAAGAGGAUUUGAAGUCUUUGUUGCUGUAUUUUAGCAGUGAAUAGUAGUGCUUACAUCAUAGCUGCGAAUGGGCAACUCUUAGCGACAUGUAUAACGUACCCCACAAACACGUAGACAAACAAACAAAC
RNAcentral lists this unclassified non-coding RNA (3501 nucleotides) under Yarrowia lipolytica. The record is from RNAcentral. Lineage: Eukaryota; Fungi; Ascomycota; Dipodascomycetes; Dipodascales.